GUAGUCCACGCCGUAAACGAUGAUCACUCGUUGUUGGCAAUACAUCGUCAGCGGCUGAGCGAAAGCAUUAAGUGAUCCACCUGGGGAGUACGUUCGCAAGAAUGAAACUCAAAGGAAUUGACGGGGGCCCGCACAAGCGGAGGAACAUGUGGUUUAAUUCGAUGAUACGCGAGGAACCUUACCUGGGCUUAAAUGCAGGAUGACAGACUGGGAAACUAGUUUUUCUUCGGACAGACUGCAAGGUGCUGCAUGGUUGUCGUCAGCUCGUGCCGUGAGGUGUCGGGUUAAGUCCCAUAACGAGCGCAACCCUCAUCAUUAGUUGCCAGCGAGUAAUGUCGGGGACUCUAAUGAAACUGCCGGUGUAAACCGUGAGGAAGGUGGGGAUGACGUCAAAUCAGCACGGCCCUUACGUCCAGGGCUACACACGUGUUACAAUGGCCAGUACAAAGGGCAGCUACCAGGUGACUGGAUGCUAAUCUCUAAAACUGGUCUCAGUUCGGAUUGAAGUCUGCAACUCGACUUCAUGAAGCUGGAUUCGCUAGUAAUCGCGCAUCAGCCAUGGCGCGGUGAAUACGUUCCCGGGCCUUGUACACACCGCCCGUCAAGCCAUGGGAGCUGGGGGUACCUGAAGUCCGUAACCGUAAGGAGCGGCCUAGGGUAAAACUAGUGACUGGGGCU
This 678-nucleotide ribosomal RNA is filed under the name uncultured bacterium. Its description in RNAcentral is "bacterial SSU rRNA". It matches the Rfam family "Bacterial small subunit ribosomal RNA", at positions 790 to 1482 of the family's 1533-position model. The record is from RNAcentral.